GACGCAGUAGGAUAGGCGAAGCGUGCUGUUGGAGUGCACGUCCAAGCAGUGAGAUUGAGUGUUAGGCAAAUCCGGCACUCUUAAGAUUGAGCUGUGAUGGGGAGAGGAACUUGUUCCUCGAGUCGUUGAUUUCACACUGCCGAGAAAAGCCUCUAGCUAGAAUAACGGUGCCCGUACCGCAAACCGACACAGGUAGUCAAGAUGAGAAUUCUAAGGUGAGCGAGCGAACUCUCGUUAAGGAACUCGGCAAAAUGACCCCGUAACUUCGGGAGAAGGGGUGCUCUUUGAGGUUCACGCUUCGAAGAGCCGCAGUGAAUAGGCCCAAGCGACUGUUUAUCAAAAACACAGGUCUCUGCUAAACCGUAAGGUGACGUAUAGGGGCUGACGCCUGC
This 392-nucleotide ribosomal RNA is filed under the name Staphylococcus pseudintermedius. Its description in RNAcentral is "partial 23S ribosomal RNA". It matches the Rfam family "Bacterial large subunit ribosomal RNA", at positions 1471 to 1862 of the family's 2925-position model. Lineage: Bacteria; Bacillati; Bacillota; Bacilli; Caryophanales; Staphylococcaceae. The record is from RNAcentral.